AAGGGACUGGUCCUGAAGACCCAAAGCUGCAGGAUCUCCACGACACAGGGCAACAACAGGAUAUCCAAGGGGAGUCCCCGUGAGGGCCCAGCAGCCAUAGUGUAUCAGAAGCCAGAGGCCUGCAACCGGACCAAUGACUCUGUGAUGAACACUUGCAGAUGAUCCUGGCUUGUGUCCAGUUGACAAAACCCUGCCCAGCACAGCGGUCUUUAUACUGGUGAGGAGUCUGGGAUGAAAUCAUCAAAGCUCCAGGGAAGGCUGCAAAAAUAUUUAAUGCUGGACAACUGUGGAUUUUUUGCUGGGAACCGUGGAGUUGGCUUGGCCUAGCUGCCCUGAGAGGCAUGUGCUUUCCAGUUCCCGAGAGACCGACGCACUCUCUCAGGCAGUGAAGCACUCAGGCUGCUUUGUGUUUCUCCAUUUGUUCCCUUAAUAGUCAAGGAAGCAGGAAAAGUCGACAGGACCAGUGGUCUUAGGUGCUAAUCUGGCAUACCCUGUGUGCUCUCGCAAACAUUGUAUCCUGGCAACUACAGCUGUAUGGAUCCUGGAAACUGCCAUUAUAUUCUGUUUUUGAUGAAAGUAUAAAAAAAAAAUCUGAUUGUUCUCAAUAAAAUUGUCACAGCCUCAGUUGUGCUGUGGCCUCUCCAA
Molecule: long non-coding RNA, 645 nt
Organism: Peromyscus leucopus (white-footed mouse)
Lineage: Eukaryota; Metazoa; Chordata; Mammalia; Rodentia; Cricetidae
Exons: 2
Source: RefSeq, a predicted model, not a curated record